GCCCAUAAACACCUCUACAUAUAUAACAAUAAAAAAUUAAACUAGUUAAAAAGAACAAGACCCAAGCAGAGAUGCUAACGCAGAGGUGAAAGUUUAGUUAUCAUAAAAGUCCGAAAACGUAUCACCUCCUCCCCCUUGUCCCCAAAGGAUAUGUGCUUUAGCACAUGUGUUUUAGGUGAAAGGUUCGAGGGUUGGUAUUCCAAAGAAAAUAAGAAAAAAAAGGUGAAAGGUUCGAGGGUUGGUAUUCCAAAGAAAAUAAGAAAAGAAAAAAGGAUAGAAUCCUAAUGAAGGUAUUCUCAAAUACCUUUUAAUAAGAUUUUUUAUUAUGGUUUAUGGUUUUUGUAAAUUUUAAUUUAAUUAUAUAUUUUAAAAGAAAUAAAUACAUAUAUUUAUUUUUAUAUUAAAUUAAUAUAUUUAUAUAUAUAGGGAAUAAAUAAAUGUAAAAUAGUGUUUU
RNAcentral lists this long non-coding RNA (454 nucleotides) under Gossypium barbadense (sea-island cotton). Its description in RNAcentral is "long non-coding RNA (GBAR_LNC009545)". Lineage: Eukaryota; Viridiplantae; Streptophyta; Magnoliopsida; Malvales; Malvaceae. The record is from RNAcentral.